Long non-coding RNA from Mytilus californianus (California mussel), 1062 nucleotides. RefSeq lists it as uncharacterized. The record is from RefSeq and is a predicted model, not a curated record. The transcript has 4 exons. NCBI's taxonomy places the organism in Eukaryota, Metazoa, Mollusca, Bivalvia, Mytilida, Mytilidae.
UUUACAGACCUAUUCAGACUAAUAUGCAACCUGUUCAUGAUGAGAUCAGCAUUCAAGAUUAAGAUUACAUAAUUAGACAUUGUCAUAGUAUAUUCAAGAAUUUACAUACUUUGUGAACACCCAGUGCGACAAACUGUUUUGAAAAUACAAAACUGCAAAUCACAUGUUUAGAUAAGACGGGAAUGAAAUUCUGGUGGAAACUUCUAUUGUUUGCCAUCACAAUAGAAUUGAACGACAAAGUUUGUCAUGGCAAAGAUGAUCUGAGUCAAAACAGUGGCCAAAGCAAAGGAGAAAAUGGAGCAUGCAAGUACGAUAUUAUUUUUCUCCUCGAUAUGUCAUCUUCAGUUGGACCUAAUGGAUUUGAAAAGGCCAAGGACUAUGUUAUUGAAACGAUCAACACAAAUGAAUUGAAUUAUUAUCCAACUCAGAUUGGAAUAAUAACAUUUUCUCAAGAUGCAAACAUGGAUAUACCACUGAAAAAAUACAAGGAAAAAGAUAAACUGAUAGAAGCCAUUAGAAACAUCAAAUGGAAAGGCGGUGUAACUGAUACUUCCAAAGGUCUAAAUUUAUUAAGACUUAAAGGUUUUACCGAAGAAAAUAGAUAUGACGAAAAGAUCGGAAAAAUUGGUAUCGUUGUCACAGACGGGAAGUGCACACAUCCAGUGGCAACAAACGCUCAGGCGGAAAGAGUAGAAUCUUAUGGUAUCCAAGUGUAUUCCAAGGGCAUAGGUGAUGACUUUGAUGAAGAGGGACUAAGAAACAUUGGCCGUUUAGUACCAGGAACAGACUGUUUCUAACUACACAAUUAAUUUUACACGUUAUAUAUACAUAUAUUUAUAAUGAAAAUAUUUAUUGAAUGGAACAAAACAAACAAAACAAGAGGCGAUAAUCAGAAUCCUUUCACAACUGUUAUUUAAGUGUAUUGAGAAAUAAAAGCAAAUUAAUGCAAAUGAGUUCGUCAUAUCUCGGACAGAUCUUGAUAGGUCUGUUUUUCAUUCAUGUAUCGUAGUGUAAAAACAAAUAGCAAGAGCCAUGUUCUCCAAAUAGAAAUUUCUACUUAUA